This is a small nucleolar RNA of Pelodiscus sinensis (Chinese soft-shelled turtle), 129 nucleotides long. It matches the Rfam family "Small nucleolar RNA SNORA5". Rfam says of the family: ACA5 is a member of the H/ACA class of snoRNA that guide the sites of modification of uridines to pseudouridines. The record is from Rfam. NCBI's taxonomy places the organism in Eukaryota, Metazoa, Chordata, Testudines, Trionychidae.
AGGAGCCUUGGACUCUCUGCCUGCCCUGCCUAGGGCAGGUGGAGGAUCAAAGGCUUCCCACAGUGACUUGGGCUCCCUGAGUAGCUGUUACCAUGGCCCAGGUCCAGCUUCCAGCCUGGCCAGGCAGUA